Molecule: ribosomal RNA, 193 nt
Filed under: uncultured bacterium
Lineage: Bacteria
Description: partial 16S ribosomal RNA
Rfam family: Bacterial small subunit ribosomal RNA
Source: RNAcentral
GGGAGUAUCGACCCUCUCUGUGCCGAAGCUAACGCUUUAAGUACCCCGCCUGGGGAGUACGGUCGCAAGACUAAAACUCAAAGGAAUUGACGGGGGCCCGCACAAGCAGCGGAGCGUGUGGUUUAAUUCGAUGCUACACGAAGAACCUCACCAAGGCUUGACAUGUUAGAAGUAGUGAACCGAAAGGGGAACG